Molecule: ribosomal RNA, 423 nt
Filed under: uncultured bacterium
Lineage: Bacteria
Description: bacterial SSU rRNA
Rfam family: Bacterial small subunit ribosomal RNA
Source: RNAcentral
UGAGGAAUAUUGGUCAAUGGGCGCAAGCCUGAACCAGCCAUCCCGCGUGAAGGAAGAAGGCGCUAUGCGUUGUAAACUUCUUUUCCAGGGGGAGAAUUUUUCCGUCGUGACGGGAAUUGACGGUACUCUGGGAAUAAGCAUCGGCUAACUCCGUGCCAGCAGCCGCGGUAAUACGGAGGAUGCGAGCGUUAUCCGGAUUUAUUGGGUUUAAAGGGUGCGUAGGCGGAUUGAUAAGUCAGUGGUGAAGGGCUGCAGCUUAACUGUAGAAUUGCCGUUGAUACUGUCAGUCUUGAGUAUGGUCAAGGCAGGCGGAAUGUGUAAUGUAGCGGUGAAAUGCUUAGAUAUUACACAGAACACCGAUUGAGAAGGCAGCUUGCUGGGGCAUCACUGACGCUCAUGCACGAAAGCGUGGGGAUCGAACAG